UCAUUUUCAUUUAUGCGGUCACAAAUAAAUAAAUUAUAUAGAUAAAUAUUAGAUUAAACUAUCCAAUCAUAUAUAACUAAAAUUAAAAUUUUAUAUGAAUAAUAAUUUUUUAUUUUAAAAAUAUUCUGUAUAUUUUCUCAAGCAUACAAUUAAUAGCAAGAUAGGCAAUGGCGGGCAUAUACUGUUAUUUGGUAACUUGGAAGGUUUGCGGCUUGGCUACUUAGGGUGAGAGACAGAAAAUGAAAAAGAGAGAAACAUAUUGAAAAUUUAGAGCUCUGUGAAAGAAAAAAAGAGAAGAAAAAUGUAUAAAUUUAGUGAAAUUUUGUUCUUUUAUUUAUCUAUUGGAUUUGUUUUUAUGGGCCAACAACAUUGGCCCAAUUUAACUAAACUGAGAUUAUUCACUCGGCCUAUAUAUAAUAAAAAUAUAUUCUAUUUAUAUAUUUUUUAAUAUAUAUAUAUAUAUAUAGAAUUAGGCUGGAAUACUAUUAAUAGUAAAACGCUCUUUUUGCUAUCAAGUUUUUAACCCUUUGAUGAAAAAUUGUAGGGUCAGGAUGAUAUUAGUCGGUUAGAGUUGAGUGGUCCUCCUAGGGUUGAGUGGUCCCCACUAGGUUAUAGUAUUUAAUCCAAUGGUUAGAAAUAAUGAAAAGAGUUGAUCCAAAGGCUAAAAAACUGGUAGCAACAAUGGGAUUUUGCUACUAAUAGUAGGCC
This 708-nucleotide long non-coding RNA is filed under the name Ananas comosus (pineapple). RNAcentral's name for it is "long non-coding RNA (ACOM_LNC036047)". Lineage: Eukaryota; Viridiplantae; Streptophyta; Magnoliopsida; Poales; Bromeliaceae. The record is from RNAcentral.